UUUUUUAACUCAAGGAUGCUGUAGUUUAACUACUCUAGUGAGGGUUUUCAAACACACUCAUUCCUGUUUUUUCUUCAACGCCUCCAUACAAUUUGGUUAGUAUUUGAAUCAGAUCCAUUCUCUAAUUAUUUUUGUUUCUUCAUUUCUAUAUCUUCCUCUAAUGUUCAUAUUGGUAUGGGACAAGACGCCCUUGGAAAAAGGUGCCGGCCACCAGUAUUUGACGAUGCUGCGGGAAAGGCAAACAACUCGAGCGAAUCUGAUGACAGUUUAAGUUUGGGAGGUUUUGUGAAAGCAAAAGGGCAAGUGAUUAAAUCAUUACUCUGCUGCAUUGCGUAGACCCUCCAAUAUGACUUGUCGUGUUGAGUCAUUUGGUAGAAUAUGCCAGAAAUUCGAUGAAAGGAGAAAAAGAUGGGUUUGUGAUAUGGGGUUUGGGGGGCUCCUACAUUUUGCUUCCCGUAUGCACUUACCACGACAGUUAGCAUACUGGAUUAUGACUCGUAUUGAUCCUAUUAAUAGGUGUUUAAUAGGCACAAAUGGUCGUUCGAUUUACUUUUCAAAGAACCAAGUGCAUUGGAUUUUAGGAAUUCCUAAUGGGGAGAAACCAGUCCCUACAUCCAAGGAAAUGUCAGGUGUAGUUAAGAUGAAGGUCCAAAAAAUAUUGUUAAAGUAUGGAAGGGCGUGGAAGACAAAAGCUAAUAAACAUGGGUCUGGGACAUGUACUUCAGUUGGCAUUCCUGUUACUGGGAUCAUGAUGGAUAGAUUGGAGGGACAUUUUGAUCCAGAUGAAGAAGAAGAAUUUAAAACCUUGUUCCUAAUCAUUUCUCUACAUAUGAUUAUGUAUCCAACACAAUCCCCAAGAAUGUCAACUGAUUUGCUACCGGCAUUGAGUUGUUGUAUGGAUAGCCAAAACUAUGAUUGGUGUGAAUUGGUAUUGAACAAAUUAAAUUUCUAGAGAUUGUCUCAAAUUUUGCUCGGCGGUUUUAUGCUAUGGAUUUGCAGGUGGUAGCGGUGGUUGUUCAAUUUUUGCAGUUAUUUUCUAUUUGGAUCGAUUAAACUUGGAUCCCAAUGCGUGGGAUACAUAUCCUCGAGUGAAGGCAUGGAGCAUGCAGAGAAUUGGGUAUUCAUGCAAGCUUGACCGAACUUAUUCCAGUGACUAUGGAAAACUAGGGGUAUGUAGGUUAUAGAUGUGGCUUAUGGUGAAAGACAUCCUAAGGUAGCACGGGACACAUCCGGACCACCUCAAUGUCCAACUUAUGAUGUGGGUAUAGUUCUUUGGUAAAUUUAUAUUGCAAGGGUUACAAAUGCACCAUCACUCUUUAACGAUUUGUAUUUCAUUUUUGUGUAGGAUGUUUCGGCCCAUGUUCCCAGUAGUAUUUUACCCCCGUCCCUUAGUCAUAAUUAGUAGUGUUUUUGGCUCUUUAGAGCCAUUUUUAUUACUAAUUGGUGUUUUCUAGUGUUUUCGUA
Molecule: long non-coding RNA, 1464 nt
Organism: Chenopodium quinoa (quinoa)
Lineage: Eukaryota; Viridiplantae; Streptophyta; Magnoliopsida; Caryophyllales; Amaranthaceae
Exons: 4
Source: RefSeq, a predicted model, not a curated record